Molecule: ribosomal RNA, 440 nt
Filed under: uncultured bacterium
Lineage: Bacteria
Description: partial 16S ribosomal RNA
Rfam family: Bacterial small subunit ribosomal RNA
Source: RNAcentral
CCUACGGGCGGCAGCAGUGGGGAAUAUUGCACAAUGGGGGAAACCCUGAUGCAGCGACGCCGCGUGAGUGAAGAAGUAUUUCGGUAUGUAAAGCCCUAUCAGCAGGGAAGAAAAUGACGGUACCUGAUUAAGAAGCCCCGGCCAACUACGUGCCAGCAGCCGCGGUAAUACGUAGGGGGCCAGCGUUAUCCGGAUUUUCUGGGUGUAAAGGGGGCGUAGACGGCAGCACAAGUCUGGAGUGAAAUGCCCGGGCUUAACCCCGGAACUGCCUUGGAAACUGUGCAUCUAGAGUGCAGGAGAGGUAAGUGGAAUUCCUAGUGUAGCGGUGAAAUGCGUAGAUAUUAGGAGGAACACCAGUGGCGAAGGCAGCAUACUGGACUGUAACUGACGUUGAGGCUCGAAAGCGUGGGGAGCAAACAGGAUUAGAUACCCCUGUAGUC